GCCCUUUCAAUUUGGCGCGCCCGUCCCUAUAUCGAUCGCGCCGGACUUGUCCGGAGAUGGCGAUGAAUGAUGUCGUGGAAUAGAUGCAGCGGACCCGGGGGCAGUACCCGGCGGCUCCACCAAAAACCCGUCUCGGCGGGCUUCUGACGGGGCCGAACCAGGAUCGACGUGUGUUCAAAGACGAUGUUUUCGCCCGGCCUGAAUGCGCCGUAAAACCGUUCAAAACCACAAGUGCCAAUGACAACGAGGCGCUCGCGAUUGCCGCGUAAUCACGGCCUAACGGCUUAGAUUACAAGGCUUGAACGCGGUUCGGGCCGAACCGGGCAACAGAAUCGGAUUCCG
RNAcentral lists this transfer-messenger RNA (342 nucleotides) under Sphingomonas colocasiae. It matches the Rfam family "Alphaproteobacteria transfer-messenger RNA". From Rfam's summary of the family: Bacterial tmRNA, also known as 10Sa RNA or SsrA, is named for its dual tRNA and mRNA-like properties. Lineage: Bacteria; Pseudomonadati; Pseudomonadota; Alphaproteobacteria; Sphingomonadales; Sphingomonadaceae. The record is from RNAcentral.